This 253-nucleotide ribosomal RNA is filed under the name uncultured bacterium. Its description in RNAcentral is "partial 16S ribosomal RNA". It matches the Rfam family "Bacterial small subunit ribosomal RNA", at positions 524 to 776 of the family's 1533-position model. The record is from RNAcentral.
UACGUAGGGUGCGAGCGUUAAUCGGAAUUACUGGGCGUAAAGAGCGCGCAGGCGGUCGUUCAAGUCGAGUGUGAAAGCCCCCGGCUCAACUGGGGAGGGUCACUCGAUACUGAUCGACUGGAAGGCAGGAGAGGGAAGCGGAAUUCCCGGUGUAGUGGUGAAAUGCGUAGAUAUCGGGAGGAACACCAGUGGCGAAGGCGGCUUCCUGGCCUGUUCUUGACGCUGAGGCGCGAAAGCUAGGGGAGCAAACGGG